GACGAACGCUGGCGGCAUGCCUAACACAUGCAAGUCGAACGGAGUUGUUAUUCAGAAGUUCUUCGGGAUGGAAGGAUAAGAACUUAGUGGCGGACGGGUGAGUAACGCGUGGGUAACCUGCCCUUUUGUGGGGAACAACUUCGAGAAAUCGGAGCUAAUACCGCAUAAUAAUAGAGGAUCGCAUGAUUCUUUAAGGAAAGAUGGCCUCUGAAGAUGCUAUCGCAAAAGGAUGGACCCGCGUCUGAUUAGCUAGUUGGAAGGGUAACGGCCUACCAAGGCAACGAUCAGUAGCCGGCCUGAGAGGGUGAACGGCCACAUUGGGACUGAGACACGGCCCAAACUCCUACGGGAGGCAGCAGUGGGGAAUCUUCCGCAAUGGGCGAAAGCCUGACGGAGCAAUGCCGCGUGAGUGAAGAAGGCCCUCGGGUUGUAAAACUCUGUCCUUAUCGAAGAGAGGUAGGUAUGUGAAUAAUGUACCUAUAGGACGGUAGAUAAGGAGGAAGCCCCGGCUAACUACGUGCCAGCAGCCGCGGUAAUACGUAGGGGGCGAGCGUUGUCCGGAAUCACUGGGCGUAAAGGGCGCGUAGGCGGUUUAAUAAGUCAGUGGUGAAAACUGAGGGCUCAACCCUCAGCCUGCCACUGAUACUGUUAGACUUGAGUAUGGAAGAGGAGAAUGGAAUUCCUAGUGUAGCGGUGAAAUGCGUAGAUAUUAGGAGGAACACCAGUGGCGAAGGCGAUUCUCUGGGCCAAGACUGACGCUGAGGCGCGAAAGCGUGGGGAGCAAACAGGAUUAGAUACCCUGGUAGUCCACGCCGUAAACGAUGGAUACUAGGUGUUAGUAGUUUCGAUGCUACUAGUGCCGGAGUAAACACAAUAAGUAUCCCGCCUGGGGAGUACGGUCGCAAGACUGAAACUCAAAGGAAUUGACGGGGGCCCGCACAAGCGGUGGAGCAUGUGGUUUAAUUCGACGCAACGCGAAGAACCUUACCAAGACUUGACAUCCUCCUGACAAGAUAUGUAAUGUAUCUCUUUUCUUCGGAGACAGGAGAGACAGGUGGUGCAUGGUUGUCGUCAGCUCGUGUCGUGAGAUGUUGGGUUAAGUCCCGCAACGAGCGCAACCCUUAUUUCUAGUUGCCAGCAGUAAGAUGGGGACUCUAGAGAGACUGCCAGUGACAAACUGGAGGAAGGUGGGGAUGACGUCAAAUCAUCAUGCCCCUUAUGUCUUGGGCUACACACGUGCUACAAUGGUCAGAACAGAGGGAAGCGAAGCCGCGAGGUGGAGCAAAUCCCAGAAAACUGAUCUCAGUUCGGAUUGCAGGCUGCAACCCGCCUGCAUGAAGUCGGAAUCGCUAGUAAUCGCGGGUCAGCAUACCGCGGUGAAUACGUUCCCGGGCCU
This 1396-nucleotide ribosomal RNA is filed under the name uncultured bacterium. Its description in RNAcentral is "16S ribosomal RNA". It matches the Rfam family "Bacterial small subunit ribosomal RNA", at positions 28 to 1381 of the family's 1533-position model. The record is from RNAcentral.